GGUCAGUGAUGACAAGAGAAAAGACUGAUUGCACUUGUGAACUGUACACACCCAUUGACUUCUUCAGCUCCCAGCAGUUUUUCUUCUUCUCUUUCCCUCAUCUGAAGUCCAGUAAUGCUGUGAGGUGUUUGAGGACUGCUGACAUUAUGUGGAUAAAGUCAGUGUGUGUUGCCUUCAGUGAAAGGGGCUUGUCACUGACUGUCAUCCAACAAAGCUAGUCAAGGAGCUGUCAUUUCUGGGGUGUGCCUUAUUGUGCAUGAUCUUUAGUUUUCAAGCUGAGACC
RNAcentral lists this small nucleolar RNA (283 nucleotides) under Pogona vitticeps (central bearded dragon). RNAcentral's name for it is "Small Cajal body specific RNA 6 (ENSPVIG00000023900.1)". It matches the Rfam family "Small Cajal body specific RNA 6". From Rfam's summary of the family: U88 is small Cajal body specific RNA (scaRNA). scaRNAs are a novel class of small nuclear RNAs which localise to the Cajal bodies. U88 is found associated with both fibrillarin and Gar1p and co-localises with coilin in Cajal bodies. U88 scaRNA is composed of both an H/ACA box and a C/D box conserved domains domains and is predicted to guide 2'-O-methylation of residue U41 of the U5 snRNA. The record is from Rfam by way of RNAcentral. Lineage: Eukaryota; Metazoa; Chordata; Lepidosauria; Squamata; Agamidae.